UGGCCUACGGGGCGCAGCAGUGAGGAAUAUUGGUCAAUGGACGCAAGUCUGAACCAGCCAUGCCGCGUGCAGGAAGACGGCUCUAUGAGUUGUAAACUGCUUUUGUACGAGGGUAAACGCAGAUACGUGUAUCUGUCUGAAAGUAUCGUACGAAUAAGGAUCGGCUAACUCCGUGCCAGCAGCCGCGGUAAUACGGAGGAUUCAAGCGUUAUCCGGAUUUAUUGGGUUUAAAGGGUGCGUAGGUUGUUUUAUAAGUUAGCGGUGAAAUACCGAUGCUCAACAUCGGGGCUGCCGCUAAUACUGUA
Molecule: ribosomal RNA, 305 nt
Filed under: uncultured bacterium
Lineage: Bacteria
Description: bacterial SSU rRNA
Rfam family: Bacterial small subunit ribosomal RNA
Source: RNAcentral